AUGUUGGUUACUGUGUGUGUGUGUUGCGCUAAUCGCCUGUUUAUCAUGUGUUUUUUCACUUCAGAAAUGGUUUCAUUCAAGGCAGUAGGCGAAACUGAGGAGACCAGGAGAAUGCAGACCUAUACCUGGACCCAAAGUGGACUGGAUCGAUCCGUCGCUGGACAAUCCUCAAGUCCCCAAGUUACCAGUGGUCAGAUGAGUGAGAUUCCAAGCAGCUAUUCUCGUCAAUAUGGGCCAGUCAGACCAGCUGUCCUGUAUAUAGAAGGUGGUCAAUGCCUACCACACAGCGGACAAGUAACCAGUGGAGGUUACUGGAGUGGACCGACCCUCAAUCAACAGGCUUCAAUGGUUAACAUAAACUCAUCUCAGCAUUCACCCACCAGAGAGCAAGUUCUGAUGGGUACUAGUCCCCUUUUGACAUCACUCUGGACUAACAAUGCAGCGGCUCCUCAAUCAACUGGUGUUACAUCACAAAGUGGAAACCAUCACACCUUGCCCGGAAGGGUUAACAGUGUAGCUCUUCCCAAUUUCCAGCAGGGACAGGGGUUUUUGGGUGUUAAAAAUAACAAUCCACAGAGGCUCGUUAAGGAUGGUCAGGGUGCAACCAUUCACUGCCCCCCUCAUAUUAAUGCACCACUGAAUGCAAAUGUUAUGUAUCAUAUAAGCCCAGCGAGUGGCAGUCAGCAGCUUGUACUUGGCAGACAAGAUGGGGCCUCCAGUGGUACCUCUGCUUCUCUUGCAAUGGGUAGGAGCCCCAACCAUGUAAAUCAUGUAGUGAGUGGGCAGGAUUCAAGAAGGAUAGCAGUUCAAGCUCCUCAUCAGGGAAACCCACAAACACCAAACUCUUUGCAAAGUGCACAGGAAACAACAUAUAACCAACUGUUGUAUUUACUUCAAAAUCAGAACAAUGACAGCAGGACUGAGAUGAACAGGGUUCAACAUGGAGCACCUGUCCACACUGGCUCAUCAAACCACAGUCAGAUGUAUCCCUCUCAACUUCUCACUGGCAUCAACAACCAGGUCAAUGUACCAAAUGCUGCAAUGGGAAUGCCAAUGCAUAACAUUAGCCAGAAUCCUCAGUACAAUGUACAAAGUACAAAGUAUAACCCCCCUUUUAAUAAUUCUCCAAGACAUGUCCCCAUCUGCCCUAAAAGCCUUCCCAUCCCACCACAACAGAACAGACUCCCAUCUUAUUGUGCAAAUAAUAACAGUCAGUUAGGGCCCAUUGGAAAUAAUGCACACCAUGCCUCUCAUCCUAGGCUCCAUAUCCAAGGCACAGUCCCUACCCUACAUUACAAGCCAGACUGCACCAAUAUUCUGGUAUCCAACACUGGACCAUCUCCAUCUGUGCCAAACUAUAGUAUACAGUCCUCAGUCCAGCACAACCGUGAAACCGCGCCUCCACCAUACCCAGUCCAGCAGAUACGUAAGUCCGCGCCUCCACCAUACCCAGGCCAGCACUCCCAUGGGCCCGUCCUGAACAAGACAGAACAUGUGGUUGGGGCAGGAGCACAUUUUCUGCAACACUUGCCUAACCAAGGCGCAGCCCCUACCCUACAUUACAAGCCAAAAAACAAUUAUGUUCAGUUAUCCAACACUGGACCAUCUUCAUCUGUGACAAACCAUGGUAUGCUGUCUUCAGGCCAGCGAAACUGUGUUGGAAAUGUGAGCAAACCUGGGGAACAUUCUUGUGUCCAAAGUCCAUCACAAGGCCAAACAACCCUUGCUCGAUCUGCUUCUUUGACAAAUGAAUCAGAACAAGAAGUCCCCAGGAUCAGACUAGAAUCAGGGGCUGAUAAAACAUUGACUCAGGGUUCAGAAACUUCUGAUGUUGAAAUGGCCAAGACAUAUUCAUGUUUUAAGUCUCAACGGUCAUUAUCAAAUGGGUUACGUGCAGAGAAAUUUGAUUCUCAACCAUUAUCUAAUGUGGAAUGUCAAGCCACUCUGAGAAAAGAGUUAGCUGACACAGAAAUGACCACUCAUGUGAAUGUUAACCAAUUGAGUGAGGAAACAAAUGAAAAAGUCGAUUCCGAUGAGGACAUUUUUGAUUUGUCCUCCAUUCCUGUAAUCAAAUGGACCCUUGGUAAAUUGAAGGAGUUGGUAGAUACUGUGCAACGUCAAAAAUGCACUGCCACACCAGUUGAAAGCAAAAUACUAAGCCUCUAUUGGGAUGGAGAUGGGCCAAAGCUUAUGGAUGCUGCAAGAUCUGGUAUGUUACAAAAUAUAAUGCAAGAGGUUAGAUCUGUGUGUGGCGACGAUGACGAUAUGUCAUCACAGUCUGUCAUAUUUUCACAAGCCAGGCGCAAAAACUGGGGUCAAGUUGAAGAGAAAUGUGCUAUUCUUAAACAUGAUUCUGUUCACCCCGAGUUCCCGGCACAAGAGUCAUCAUGGUUGAACACAAAUAAGCAGCUUGAUGACAUAGACAAGGAGUUUGGAUUCCCAUGGUCACUAAGAUAUGACCAAAAGACUCUUCAAAGAGGAGAUGAACAACCAAAACUGAUUUGUACCGAAAAUGAAAAAUCUACAGCCUCUGCCAUUGACAUGCAGACUGAGGUCACUCAGGCGACGAGACCAACACCCUCUGAUUCUGAUGCUAAAGAAAUUCAAGGGUCAGGUUUGGCACACAGUUCCACCCAGACCCUCUCACUGGUUAAGAGAGAAAAAGCAGGUAUCAUUUUUAGUGACCCAUUUUCCUCCCUGGAGAUCAACGUGCUGACACCAGAAGAGGCUUUGCAGUUUUUCAGUGGGCAGCUACUACAAGAUGAAGUGAACGAAGACCUGUUGGAAUUGCCAAUGGAAAUGGAUGCGGAGCUGAUUGAGUUGAAAGAUUACUCAGUGGAGGAUAAAUCAUCUGAGAGGGUAGAUGUGAAGUUGACUGAUUUAAAACUCAAAAACAAAGGGGAUGUCCAAUCAGAAGAUUACUGUUGCCUCUCUCGUUGGAUGUCAGUGUUCAGUGGGUCCACCAAUUCUUCGUCCUGCAAAUGCCAAUACAAGACGAAAUUGGGUUCAGCAAAGGCCACUCUGAAUGCGACGGCAUUGGUUGAGGUAACAUUGUCUGUUGAACCCAGCACAACAAAAGCAGAACAAAGGGAAUGCGUGCAUUUGUGUAAAUCAAAUGGCACAGCAGAAGAAAAGCGUGAAGAGAAUCCUGUAAAAAAUGUGAAUCCUCAAUCUUGGAAAUCUACAGGCAUUGAAGAAUGCCAAACAAUUGUCUUGUCUGAUAGAAAAUCUGAGACUGCUCACAUAUACACAAAUGGGGUGAAGAGCUUGCCUUUGUCAAAAGCCCCAGCACUGCAACUCCCCAUCAACCACACAAACAUUGUUGAAAUUGAAGAGGUCUUCUCGCGUUAUGAAGACUUAAUCAAAGUAGCCACCUCAAUGUCGGAGCUAGUUUGGGACGAUGUACAGCCAAAGCAGAAACUACCAGGUCCGUUCCAGAAACAUGUGGAAUGUGUACAAGAACUUGGUGUUAUUUUGGAAGAAGGAAACCCUAGAGGUAGUGAAGUCGUUCCUACAGCUCCCAUUCCUACUUCUAAUCUGCAACCUGAAGUAACAGACAAAAUCGGUUUCCUUACAUCACUUUCCUUGGCACAAAGAUGUCACAAACAUCUAUCUCCUAAAACAAAUUGUAGCUACAAGGUUAAACAAAAAGGGGUUGGACUCAAGAGAAGAUGUGUUGAAAGUCCUCAUUCAAAUGUGCCUGUCCCAAGAAAGCAAAGGAAAAUGAGGGACGGAUUAGGUCCCUCCUUUCACCUUGUUCCUGAGGUCAACUUGACUGAUGAUGAUGAUGAAGAUUUUGAGCCCCCCAAUACAACUACUUCUAAGUCUUUGGAAGAAGAGAAACAUUCAAAAGGUAGCAAUCUCCAGAAGCCAACAGAACAUGGAAUUGGGAACAACAUUUGCAGGGUUGGCACAGUAAGUCUAGCCUUGUUUGGUUCCACGCUCCAACGCAAGGACCAUAAUGCUUCUCGAGCCAGACCUUUUGCAGACAAUGCUCCAGCACCUCCUGUAACCCUCAGUGUGAAUGUCAACUCCUGGACAACGGAGCCCUCCGAGACCAGUCCUCCAGUGGAAAGCCCAAUCAAACAAUGGAUCUUAAGCGAGUGGAAUAAUAGUUUUAUCCCGACAAAGACAAAGUCCAGGGGCAAAGUGCCAAGACUACAAAACAGAAGAGGCGUUGCUCCAAAAAUGAUUUGUGCUGAAAUGGCUAAAAAGAUUGUUGCCCUCACCAACACAGAUGGAGGUGCAUUAUCCUCUGAAAGGCGAGCCACACCAGAAAGAACUGUAAAGGCCAAGCAGACUUUGCGGCGCAUUGAAAGAGAAAGAAUCUUAAGCGGCCUGAAACUCAGACUGAAGAAAUCUAGGAUUGAGGCAGUGCCAUCCGGUAUCCCUGAUAUAGUGGAAAAGGGUAAAUAUGAAAUCGGAAACCCUGCUUCUUUGCCUCGUGAGGAGAACAGUCUUAUGUUUAGUGUGCUGCCGGAGUCAUUCAACUUCAAAGAAGUCAUGGACCCUCCGACACAGACAGGUUCAAUGAAUGACAUGGCUGGUCCAGUUGCUGUGAAGGCUGAGAAUCCUAAGGCAAUAGUCCAAAAAUCCAAAGGUGUAUGGUCUGUUGGCAUUCAGAAGAGAUAUUGUCCUCUCACCUCUUUGACCAUUAAAGUUCCCAAGACUUCCUCCACCACCUUCCAGAAGUUUCAGAAGAAAUUCAAGCAGAAGAAGUAG
Molecule: long non-coding RNA, 4722 nt
Organism: Oncorhynchus mykiss (rainbow trout)
Lineage: Eukaryota; Metazoa; Chordata; Actinopteri; Salmoniformes; Salmonidae
Source: Ensembl